UUAAAGGCAGUGCUUUAAUGCCUUUCUAGUUGCCGGGUUAAUCCUUCCUUCCGCGAUAUCCAACUUAUCUACGUGGGGGGUCAUUAGGCUCCAAGUAGAUCCGGAAAUGUUGAAUUCUCUCCUCUUCUUAUUGUGAUAUAAAAUGUUUUUUGUUUCAUUUCAUUUACAUUGGGAAAUAGAGAAACGAUCAUUGUGUUUUGUUAGUUUUAAAAACUUUUGAUAUAUUUGUAUUUUGCAUUAUAAGCAGUCAACCGAUUGACAAACUAGAAUUAUUUGAAUUCCGUGUGGAAAGAGCUCGGGUUAAUUUCGAGUGUUAUCUGCAAUCUAGAUGUUUAUAAAUCAUUUCAGUCGUUGAUAUAAUAAUUAAGAGUCGACUGAACAUUAAUUAUAUUAUACAAUUUAAAGCGCAUUUCUGUUUAUGCACGUGAACCCGUCUAACGUUAUUGUUAUUCCGCAGUUAUAUAAAGUAGCAAAUUAUCGUUCCUGAAUAGGUGGCGCCGUGGUAGCCGAUCCUGUUCCUCAACUUCCGGUUUCUGCACUGUGCAACUAUUUCAGUUACAUUUUAAAUUAACGAUGCCAAGUACUUGUUGUUGUGUACCUGGAUGUCAUUUAAGAGAAGGACAUGCAUUUCCAAAUGACUUAAAAAGAAGGAAAAGUUGGAUCAACGCCAUGGCCCAAACGCAGAUUGGACGAGAACACGAUUUCAUCGUGGAGUCCAUCUCAAUCAGCUGUUGUUUGCAAGGCACAUUUUACUGAAAAAGACUACGUGCAGGAAACUAUUCAUGGGCGCAAACCCACCAUAUGUACAGAGACCUAAGUCUACUGCCAUUCCCAGCCUAUUUUCCUGGACCAAGCAAGAGACUGAAUCGUCCGCAAAAAGAAAAAUCAGGGCAGUUUCCUGUGAAAACAAAAGAACUAAACUUGAUGAAUAUUGUAGUAGAAAUCUAGAGGAAAGUUUUGAUUGUAAAGUUGGUUUUCCUGAAGAAGUCAUUCAUACUGCAGAAAGGAUUUAUGACUGUCCACCACCAACUGCUGAGCUAAUGUUGAGCUUCAAAGAUGGAAUUACGCAAACACCAUCAAUGUCUAUGUUUUCAGCAGAGAAUUUUGAAAUGAAGACACGUGACACAGCCAUGCAUUUUUAUACCAGUUUAGAGUUGUAUACUAAAUUUUUAUUUGUUUUGACCACACUUGGUCCAACAGCACAUAAUACAAAAUGUAGUUCAAUUAUGUGAUCCAGGUGACAGUGUGAUGGCAGACAAAGGUUUAAAUGUGCAAGAUUUGUUUGCUAACUUUUUUCAAAAAAGAAACAGAAUUAGUUCCAAAACUCUUAUACGGGAUAGAAAAGUCUCCAAUUAACAUGUGCACAUAGAGCGAAUUAUUGGACUUGGCACAACAUACAAAAUUCUAACAAAUCCUAUGAAUGGAACUGAAACAAAACUUUCAUCUGAAAUAACAUUUAGUUGUUUUAUGUUGUGUAAUUUUAAAACUUGUAUUGUGCCAAAGGAUGCAGAAAUAAAAGUGACGCAAUGAA
Long non-coding RNA from Mytilus californianus (California mussel), 1531 nucleotides. RefSeq lists it as uncharacterized. NCBI's taxonomy places the organism in Eukaryota, Metazoa, Mollusca, Bivalvia, Mytilida, Mytilidae. The transcript is spliced from 2 exons. The record is from RefSeq and is a predicted model, not a curated record.